RNAcentral lists this transfer RNA (69 nucleotides) under Mus musculus musculus (eastern European house mouse). RNAcentral describes it as "tRNA-Thr". The record is from RNAcentral. Lineage: Eukaryota; Metazoa; Chordata; Mammalia; Rodentia; Muridae.
GUCUUGAUAGUAUAAACAUAUUACUCUGGUCUUGUAAACCUGAAAUGAAGAUCUUCUCUUCUCAAGACA